This 381-nucleotide ribosomal RNA is filed under the name Diacyclops humphreysi. RNAcentral's name for it is "partial 12S ribosomal RNA". The record is from RNAcentral. Lineage: Eukaryota; Metazoa; Arthropoda; Copepoda; Cyclopoida; Cyclopidae.
CACUUUAAAAUAAAUUCUAUACUGAGAUUCAAAUUAAUAUAAUUUACUUUCUCCUGUUAUGAGAUUUGAUUGAUAAUUAUAUUAUAUAAACUCAUAAAUUUAAAAACAAAUUUGGGGUAGAAUCCAAGUAUGAGGAAUGAUUUAGGUAAUAAAAUAAACUUAAACUGUGUGGCAGUUAUUUAUUUUAUUUAGAGAAUCUUGGUUAUUAAAUUGAUAACCCACAAUUUUAUUUUAGAAUUAAAAGCAUAUGUGUGGUUGUUUUAAGAUGAAUUAUAAUUUAAAUUUAAAUUCAAAUUACAUAUAGUAUAAUUAGAUAUAACUGAGAUGCAGUAAAUUAUGUUAGGAAAUUCAGGAUUUAAUAAUAGGCAAAAAAUGUCGAAU